This 495-nucleotide ribosomal RNA is filed under the name uncultured bacterium. RNAcentral describes it as "partial 16S ribosomal RNA". It matches the Rfam family "Bacterial small subunit ribosomal RNA", at positions 28 to 507 of the family's 1533-position model. The record is from RNAcentral.
GACGAACGCUGGCGGCGUGCCUAAUACAUGCAAGUAGAACGCUGAAGGAGGAGCUUGCUUCUCUGGAUGAGUUGCGAACGGGUGAGUAACGCGUAGGUAACCUGCCUGGUAGCGGGGGAUAACUAUUGGAAACGAUAGCUAAUACCGCAUAAGAGUAGAUGUUGCAUGACAUUUGCUUAAAAGGUGCAAUUGCAUCACUACCAGAUGGACCUGCGUUGUAUUAGCUAGUUGGUGGGGUAACGGCUCACCAAGGCGACGAUACAUAGCCGACCUGAGAGGGGGAUCGGCCACACUGGGACUGAGACACGGCCCAGACUCCUACGGGAGGCAGCAGGAGGGAAUCUUCGGCAAUGGACGGAAGUCUGACCGAGCAACGCCGCGUGAGUGAAGAAGGGUUUCGGAUCGGAAAGCUCUGUUGUAAGAGAAGAACGAGUGUGAGAGUGGAAAGUUCACACUGUGACGGUAGCUUACCAGAAAGGGACGGCUAACUACGUG